CAUCGGUGACACGACCCAACCCAUACCAAGCAUCUUCACAUCUACCAUGACCGAGGCUUUGCCCUUUAGUAAUUUCCUUGUCGGUCUGCCCGUACAGGUAUCUAGGAUUAUUGAUGGUGACAUGGAUGAUUCCUGUGGUCUGGAGAAGGUUGCUUCCAGUCACUUGCCUAGCUAAAUGUAUGUACAUUCUCUGAAUAUCUGUCAGACGUCUGUUUAUUUCCUCAUGUAUACAAAUCACGCUGUGGUUUGCACAAAUAUUCUUUAGGGUUCACUCGCCUCCUGUGUUCAACUCGUUGUCCAAUCUAGGUAGCACUAAUAGCGACAACGAUAAUAGUGUUCAUCUCGUUUCCAGAUACAUAAUUUUCUUUUCAGCUCGAGUGCGUUCUUGCUUUUGAUUAUGGCAUUUCUUACAA
Molecule: long non-coding RNA, 413 nt
Organism: Triticum dicoccoides
Lineage: Eukaryota; Viridiplantae; Streptophyta; Magnoliopsida; Poales; Poaceae
Exons: 3
Source: RefSeq, a predicted model, not a curated record